UAUGCGUCCUCUUUGGAUAUUG
This 22-nucleotide microRNA is filed under the name Sarcophilus harrisii (Tasmanian devil). RNAcentral's name for it is "Sha-Mir-7303-P1-v2_3p (mature (guide))". Lineage: Eukaryota; Metazoa; Chordata; Mammalia; Dasyuromorphia; Dasyuridae. RNAcentral also lists the same sequence under 2 other names. The record is from RNAcentral.